This 1258-nucleotide long non-coding RNA is filed under the name Equus caballus (horse). RNAcentral's name for it is "lncRNA (ENSECAG00000055264.1)". The record is from RNAcentral. Lineage: Eukaryota; Metazoa; Chordata; Mammalia; Perissodactyla; Equidae.
UUCUUCUUCUCCCCAAAGGCCCCCCAGUACAAAGCUGUAUAUUCUAGUUGUAGGUCUUUCUAGUUGUGUUAUGUGGGAUGCUGCCUCAACACGACUUGAUGAGCAGUGCCAUGUCUGCACCCAGGAACGAACCAGCGAAACCCUGGGCCGCCGAAGCAAAGCCCGCAAACUUAAUCACUCAUCCAGGGGGCUGGCGCCACAUUUGUGCAUUGUUAACCAAGAAUCUGAUUUAACCAUUCACCGUUGGUGUGAUACAUUCCAAGGUUACUCCUUCAAGGCAACUGCAACAUCCCAAAGGACCUGAUAAUGACCUCCUUAAAAUACAACCAUCAAAGAAGAUAGUGCGCCUAUUUCCCAGCUUCUGUGGGCAGAUAAUGCUUCCUCAAAAGGCAACUUUUGGUUCUCCAUUGGCAAAGGAUCCCAUCUCUUCAUCUAUAUUGUGUUUAACCUUGAUUUCAAACAGCGAAAACGAGCUCUGGCAACUUCAGAAGCUAGCCAUCAUCUCCUACUAGCCAGCAAGUCUUAGAUAAAGAGUGAAAACGUAGUGGUGAUGACUCAAGAGCACAGCCCUGCCUGUGCUUGGAACUGGGCACCAGUAGUCAGCAAACAGACAUGGAUGCAGGAAAAGAGAUGGGAGGGCAGCCAGUCGAACUUCAUCUAACGGUCCUUGUAGCAGGAUUUAACAUCUAUGUGUUAUGCCAUCAUGAUGUAAUGGUUGCCAUGUUGCCUUCUUUUCAAGAAUUUUCUAAAGAACAAUGUACUAAUUGUAUAAAAAUAAUAUACAUUCUUUAUUAAAUUUGGAGUAACAUAGUAAAUCACAAAGAAGAGUGAACAUUAAGAGAACAUUAUUCCAUAGAUCUCUUUAUGCAUAUAUAUAUAGAGAGAGAAAAUAAACAGAUAAGCUGUAAAACUUUGUAAAUGGUAUCAUGUUAUAUAAGGCUUUUAACUUCACUUGAGUUUCGUGGUGGAAGAAAAAUCUUAAGUGAAGCUAAGAAAACUGCUAACAUUCAGAUAAUGGUUUAGCCAGAAGUAAUAAUAAUUCUUUAGCAAAAGAGUUUUUCCUAAAAGAUCUAAAAAGCUUAGUAAAACCAUUAAUAAAUGGAAUCUUUGUGUUUUAACAUGAUUUCUCAAUUUUAGAGAGUAUUUAUUGACCUUCUACUUAGGAAGAAAAAAUGAAGAAAUGCAUCUACCUCUCAAAUAUAUUAUAUUACUAUUUUUACUGCACUUAGUCUCCAAAUGCUCUUCCCACAGUUCUUCU